Molecule: RNA transcript, 1557 nt
Organism: Brassica oleracea var. oleracea
Lineage: Eukaryota; Viridiplantae; Streptophyta; Magnoliopsida; Brassicales; Brassicaceae
Exons: 5
Source: RefSeq, a predicted model, not a curated record
ACAUCUAUGUUUAAAGAAAAAAAAACAGAAAAGGAAAAAAGACCAAAUCUGUCGACGCUUCUUUUCCCAUCCAUGGCGAUUGAAGGAAAAAAGAAUAGAAAGGAACAAAUCGACGCUUCAUCCCCAUCCAUGGCGAUUGAAGGUUCAGAAAUCAAUAUCAAUACCGGUAAAGACUGUAACGAUGGCUUGAAGAUCUUCAACGAUGAGGGUAACAAAUCUGAUUUGGAAACAAAAUCAAACCGUUGGUUGGAAACUCGUAAGAUCCACCAAGGACUUCUCGUAUUCCUGUCUCUUAAGAUCCGAAGGCUUCAUUUCUAUUUCCGUUGUUUGAUAUUUGGGUUUCAAUUUCGCCGAGUGAUAAUCAGAUUUGAAAGAAAACUAAUCGAUUGGAAUGGUUUCCAAGAAUCCGACGAAGUUCAGAAGCGGGUGAAAAUCUGAUCAAUUAAAAUUGAUUCGACAACAUCUCUGCCUAAAUAAAAGCCAAGUAACUGUCCCAAUAAAGCAUCUUCUUCAAGAUCUCCCAAGUCCACAACUUGACCAAUCACAUCUGAAAAAAAACAUCAAUACUUAGCCAGAGGCCACGAGAGUACAAUAGAUAAGAAGAUUGCGUAAAUAAUUACCAAUGAGAAAACAUGUUUUGAGUGAUCCACCCAAAACAGUCUGGAAGUCCACCAAGCUUAGAAACAUGUCUUCGUUGGUAAGAGGAGACCUUGUGAUUGCCGUAUUCUGAAUGAUGCUCAUUUUGAAGGGAUGAUCGGUUGCUCGGUACAUGCCAGUUGAAGGACUGAGGGUGAAAUUCUGAAUGUGCCUCCAUGCUCCAACAGGAAGAAGGCGGCCUUUACUCUCCAUCUUCAUCGGAUAGGACCAUCUCGAGGGUGUCCCCGUGCAUUGGGUUGUACUGCUUCCAAGAGUGCAGAACCUUCACAUGUACUUUCCAGCCACUCUUGAAGGGUUUCACAUCUUUCAAAGGGGUCACUUUCAUUGCGGUAGACAUUUUUUUUUAUUGCUAAAGUAGUUGUGAGUAAAUGUGAGAAAGCUUAGGCAUGUUGAAGGUGUUUAUAUAGUAGUAGGUUAAUCGAUGGUUCUAAAUGUCUGGUAAAAAAAUAUCUCUCGUAUAUUCUUAGUUUUCUAUAGGAAAUCGUUAGAGUAUUGAUCAAGAAAAGAUAUUUAGAGAUCGAUAUUUCAUACGGUUGUUUACAUAUCUUAACAAUAUUUACAAUUCUGUUGGUUUAGAUAUCUUUUUAACAUAAACGAAUUAAAUGAAACAAAUAUUUGGGUAGUUAUUACGUUUGCUUCAUGCGCAAGCUAGUAUAUUAUGAUUCAUUAAAGGAAAAAUUGUUAGAGAAUUUAUACGGUUAAGAUUUUAAAUAUUUGUUAUUGAAUUUGCCUAAUAUCUGCUUGCCGUGGGGCAUUUAGACACAUGGGUAAGGAGAAAAUCGAUUGGGCUAACAAUCAAGCUUGGGCCAUUUCAAAAAAUCGUUCAACAAAACGUGUUGAACGUAAUUCACGUAAAUACCCUUUUUUAUUCUUUGAAAUGUAAGAAAGCAAAAAAAAAGA